UACGGAGGGUGCAAGCGUUAUCCGGAUUCACUGGGUUUAAAGGGAGCGCAGGCGGACUUGUAAGUCAGUGGUGAAAUACCUGAGCUUAACUCGGGAACUGCCAUUGAUACUAUAGGUCUUGAAUGUUGUUGAGGUUUGCGGAAUGGGUCAUGUAGCGGUGAAAUGCAUAGAUAUGACCCGGAACACCUAUUGCGAAGGCAGCAGGCUAAACAAAUAUUGACGCUGAGGCUCGAAAGCGCGGGGAUCAAACAGG
This 253-nucleotide ribosomal RNA is filed under the name uncultured bacterium. RNAcentral's name for it is "partial 16S ribosomal RNA". It matches the Rfam family "Bacterial small subunit ribosomal RNA", at positions 524 to 776 of the family's 1533-position model. The record is from RNAcentral.